UACGUCGGGUCCGAGCGUUGUCCGGAUUUAUUGGGCGUAAAGAGCUCGUAGGCGGUUCCGUAAGUCAGAUGUGAAAACUCAGGGCUCAACCCGGAGACGCCAUCUGAUACUGCGGUGACUGGAGUCUGGUAGGGGAACACGGAAUUCCUGGUGUAGCGGUGAAAUGCGCAGAUAUCAGGAGGAACACCGAUGGCGAAGGCAGUGUUCUGGGCCAGUACUGACGCUGAGGAGCGAAAGCGUGGGGAGCAAACAGG
Molecule: ribosomal RNA, 254 nt
Filed under: uncultured bacterium
Lineage: Bacteria
Description: partial 16S ribosomal RNA
Rfam family: Bacterial small subunit ribosomal RNA
Source: RNAcentral